AGUGAACGCUGGCGGUAGGCCUAACACAUGCAAGUCGAACGGCAGCACAGUAAGAGCUUGCUCUUACGGGUGGCGAGUGGCGGACGGGUGAGGAAUACAUCGGAAUCUACUUUUUCGUGGGGGAUAACGUAGGGAAACUUACGCUAAUACCGCAUACGACCUACGGGUGAAAGCAGGGGAUCUUCGGACCUUGCGCGAUUGAAUGAGCCGAUGUCGGAUUAGCUAGUUGGCGGGGUAAAGGCCCACCAAGGCGACGAUCCGUAGCUGGUCUGAGAGGAUGAUCAGCCACACUGGAACUGAGACACGGUCCAGACUCCUACGGGAGGCAGCAGUGGGGAAUAUUGGACAAUGGGCGCAAGCCUGAUCCAGCCAUACCGCGUGGGUGGAGAAGGCCUUCGGGUUGGAAAGCCCUUUUGUUGGGAAAGAAAAGCAGCAGGUUAAUACCCCGCUGUUCUGACGGUACCCAAAGAAUAAGCACCGGCUAACUUCGUG
This 492-nucleotide ribosomal RNA is filed under the name uncultured bacterium. RNAcentral describes it as "partial 16S ribosomal RNA". It matches the Rfam family "Bacterial small subunit ribosomal RNA", at positions 29 to 507 of the family's 1533-position model. The record is from RNAcentral.